Molecule: ribosomal RNA, 443 nt
Filed under: uncultured bacterium
Lineage: Bacteria
Description: partial 16S ribosomal RNA
Rfam family: Bacterial small subunit ribosomal RNA
Source: RNAcentral
CCUACGGGUGGCAGCAGUGGGGAAUAUUGGACAAUGGGGGGAACCCUGAUCCAGCGACGCCGCGUGAGUGAAGAAGUAUUUCGGUAUGUAAAGCUCUAUCAGCAGGGAAGCAAGACAUGACGGUACCUGACUAAGAAGCCCCGGCUAACUACGGGCCAGCAGCCGCGGUAAUACGUCGGGGGCAAGCGUUAUCCGGAUUUUCUGGGUGUAAAGGGAGCGUAGACGGCGGGGCAAGUCUGAAGGGAAAGCCGGGGGCCCAACCUCCGGACUGCUUUGGACACUGGAUGGCUGGAGUGCAGGAGAGGUAAGUGGAAUGCCUAGUGUAGCGGUGAAAUGCGUAGAUAUUAGGAGGAACACCAGUGGCGAAGGCGGCUUACUGGACUGUAACUGACGUUGAGGCUCGAAAGCGUGGGGAGCAAACAGGAUUAGAUACCCCUGUAGUC